UGCGCAGGCGGACUAUUAAGUCAGUGGUGAAAUCUCUCGGCUCAACCUAGAAACUGCCAUUGAAACUGAUAGCCUUGAGUGUAGUUGUAGUAGGCGGAAUAUAGCAUGUAGCGGUGAAAUGCUUAGAUAUGCUAUAGAACACCGAUCGCGAAGGCAGCUUACUAAACUAUUACUGACGCUCAUGCACGAAAGCGUGGGGAGCAAACAGGAUUAGAUACCCUGGUAGUCC
This 229-nucleotide ribosomal RNA is filed under the name uncultured bacterium. Its description in RNAcentral is "partial 16S ribosomal RNA". It matches the Rfam family "Bacterial small subunit ribosomal RNA", at positions 568 to 796 of the family's 1533-position model. The record is from RNAcentral.